ACUUCUAAGUCACAGAAAAAGGCCAGUUUGGAUCUGUUGAGUCCAGAAAAUAAUAUUUCUUGGAGCAGUUACAUGAAAAAAAGUAAGCUGAUACUUUGUGUUUCUUUGAUUACAAUACAUGCCUGGAAGUGUAGAAUCUUUCAGCUCUAGCUUCCAGAGCACUGCAGAAAGACUCCCCUCCCCCUGCCCUUCAUAAACUGCAGGAGAGAAGAGCCCCUCCAUAAAAUGGGGAAAUCAUUUGCAUUCAGACCUACGAUCUUUUGGGUUUGCUCCAUAGGUGGUCUCCUAGAUCAAAGUUCACUGUCCCCCGCUGUGUUUCAUUUCUGUCCCUGUACUUUCAGAGUUGCAGUUUAAAAAAUAAAUAAAAAGAAAACAAAUAAAACUCAUGAUCAUUGUAAGUUUAUGGGCAAAACUGAACUUGUUUAAUCCCCACAUAGUCUCUUGGAAGUGAUUUGUUCACUGAAAGAUCGAAGUACUUGUGUUUAAUUAGCUGACGUGGUUUUCAUCCAUUGGAAGCACCUAUUCUCUUGCUCUUCUUUUUGCUGCUUGGCUGGAUGGUCGCAAUGAGGAAAUGCCACUUGACGGGUUUUUUGGUAAGGUUUUACCUUCUUCAGGCACUUCGCAAGUAGUCGUAAAGAGAACUGCACUGGCUGCUCGCCCUUUCAGUAAAAGUUAGUUUUAUCUCCUCAGUGCUUAAAGCAUUCACUACUGCUUCAGAUGCUUGAUCCUGAUUUCAUGGGAACCGUCACUGUUUCCUUUACAAACAGUGCCAUAAACUACUCUUCUUCCUUGCGGUUAGUUGUUUUUUCUUCAUAGGACUUGAACUGAUGAGGCAGUGAAAACACCCAACCACUGUACAUACAGAAUUUUAACUGCCAGCAAAAGUUAACUCCUUUUCCAGCUUGCGCAGAAGAGACACCUACUGCAUCUCAGAGGUUCAAACUGGAAAUGCCUCAAGCACAUAGGCACUGCUCAGAUCAGCUAAGAGUUUUACGUUAAGAUUACAAGCUGGAAGCAGUAGUUUGCCACGCCCACCAUAGAACUCAAGUUCCAAAAACACCGUGAUUGCUGAACCAUCAACAGAGACUGGCAUGGGACAUCAGCUUUGCGUUUUGUGAGUCCUCAGUCCCAUAGGGACUUGCUGAGAAGGCUACUUGUUAGAGCUACUCAGCGAUUUCAGCAAAAGCUGCUGAAUUACAGUUGGGCUUGGACUUACUUAGACAUCUGAGCUGCUCCCUUGUCACCAUCUAAGCUCCUGCCAAGAACACUAAGUUGGUAUUCCGCUGGUGGAUUUGUGCAGCAUUAAGAUCUGACAUAUGAUAGUCUUUAUACGCAAGCUCUGCAUGAAAAAGAUGAAAAGAAGAAAAAUUUCUCUUUGUUUUCAACAGUGCACUCAUCCCUGUUCAGUCUCCUAAUGAA
Long non-coding RNA from Strigops habroptila (Kakapo), 1419 nucleotides. RefSeq lists it as uncharacterized. Lineage: Eukaryota; Metazoa; Chordata; Aves; Psittaciformes; Psittacidae. The transcript is spliced from 3 exons. The record is from RefSeq and is a predicted model, not a curated record.